AACGAACGCUGGCGGCAUGCCUAACACAUGCAAGUCGAACGAGACCUUCGGGUCUAGUGGCGCACGGGUGCGUAACGCGUGGGAACCUGCCCUUAGGUUCGGAAUAACUCCCCGAAAGGGGUGCUAAUACCGGAUAAUGUCUUCGGACCAAAGAUUUAUCGCCUUUGGAUGGGCCCGCGUUGGAUUAGCUAAUUGGUAGGGUAAAAGCCUACCAAGGCGACGAUCCAUAGCUGGUCUGAGAGGAUGAUCAGCCACACUGGGACUGAGACACGGCCCAGACUCCUACGGGAAGCAGCAGUGGGGAAUAUUGGACAAUGGGCGAAAGCCUGAUCCAGCAAUGCCGCGUGAGUGAUGAAGGCCUUAGGGUUGUAAAGCUCUUUUACCCGGGAUGAUAAUGACAGUACCGGGAGAAUAAGCUCCGGCUAACUCCGUG
RNAcentral lists this ribosomal RNA (433 nucleotides) under uncultured bacterium. Its description in RNAcentral is "partial 16S ribosomal RNA". It matches the Rfam family "Bacterial small subunit ribosomal RNA", at positions 29 to 507 of the family's 1533-position model. The record is from RNAcentral.